This 2903-nucleotide ribosomal RNA is filed under the name Pantoea dispersa. Its description in RNAcentral is "23S ribosomal RNA". It matches the Rfam family "Bacterial large subunit ribosomal RNA". Lineage: Bacteria; Pseudomonadati; Pseudomonadota; Gammaproteobacteria; Enterobacterales; Erwiniaceae. The record is from RNAcentral.
GGUUAAGCGACUAAGCGUACACGGUGGAUGCCCUGGCAGUCAGAGGCGAUGAAGGACGUGCUAAUCUGCGAAAAGCGACGGUAAGGUGAUAUGAACCGCUACAGCCGUCGAUGUCCGAAUGGGGAAACCCAAUGCACUUGUGCAUUAUCGUUUGAUGAAUACAUAGUCAAACGAGGCGAACCGGGGGAACUGAAACAUCUAAGUACCCCGAGGAAAAGAAAUCAACCGAGAUUCCCCCAGUAGCGGCGAGCGAACGGGGAGCAGCCCAGGACCUGAAUCAGCUUGUGCAUCAGUGGAAGCGUCUGGAAAGUCGCGCGAUACCGGGUGACAGCCCCGUACACGAAGAUGCAUAAGUUGUGAGUCCGACGAGUAGGGCGGGACACGUGGUAUCCUGUCUGAACAUGGGGGGACCAUCCUCCAAGGCUAAAUACUCCUGACUGACCGAUAGUGAACCAGUACCGUGAGGGAAAGGCGAAAAGAACCCCGGCGAGGGGAGUGAAACAGAACCUGAAACCGUGUACGUACAAGCAGUGGGAGCACCUUCGGGUGUGACUGCGUACCUUUUGUAUAAUGGGUCAGCGACUUAUAUUCUGUAGCAAGGUUAACCGCAUAGGGGAGCCGAAGGGAAACCGAGUCUUAAUUGGGCGUUAAGUUGCAGGGUAUAGACCCGAAACCCGGUGAUCUAGCCAUGGGCAGGUUGAAGGUUGGGUAACACUAACUGGAGGACCGAACCGACUAAUGUUGAAAAAUUAGCGGAUGACUUGUGGCUGGGGGUGAAAGGCCAAUCAAACCGGGAGAUAGCUGGUUCUCCCCGAAAGCUAUUUAGGUAGCGCCUCGUGAACUCAUCUCCGGGGGUAGAGCACUGUUUCGGCUAGGGGGCCAUCCCGGCUUACCAACCCGAUGCAAACUGCGAAUACCGGAGAAUGUUAUCACGGGAGACACACGGCGGGUGCUAACGUCCGUCGUGAAGAGGGAAACAACCCAGACCGCCAGCUAAGGUCCCAAAGUCAUGGUUAAGUGGGAAACGAUGUGGGAAGGCACAGACAGCCAGGAUGUUGGCUUAGAAGCAGCCAUCAUUUAAAGAAAGCGUAAUAGCUCACUGGUCGAGUCGGCCUGCGCGGAAGAUGUAACGGGGCUAAACCAUGCACCGAAGCUGCGGCAGCGACACUAUGUGUUGUUGGGUAGGGGAGCGUUCUGUAAGCCGCUGAAGGUGUGCUGUGAGGCACGCUGGAGGUAUCAGAAGUGCGAAUGCUGACAUAAGUAACGAUAAAGCGGGUGAAAAGCCCGCUCGCCGGAAGACCAAGGGUUCCUGUCCAACGUUAAUCGGGGCAGGGUGAGUCGACCCCUAAGGCGAGGCUGAAAAGCGUAGUCGAUGGGAAACAGGUUAAUAUUCCUGUACUUGGUGUUACUGCGAAGGGGGGACGGAGAAGGCUAGGUUAUCCGGGCGACGGUUGUCCCGGUUUAAGCGUGCAGGUGUGAAGACCAGGCAAAUCCGGUCUUCUUUAACACUGAGGCGUGACGACGAGCCGCUACGGCGGUGAAGUAACUGAUGCCCUGCUUCCAGGAAAAGCCUCUAAGCUCCAGGUAACACGAAAUCGUACCCCAAACCGACACAGGUGGUCAGGUAGAGAAUACCAAGGCGCUUGAGAGAACUCGGGUGAAGGAACUAGGCAAAAUGGUGCCGUAACUUCGGGAGAAGGCACGCUGGCGCGUAGGUGAAGGGACUUGCUCCCGGAGCCGAAGCCAGUCGAAGAUACCAGCUGGCUGCAACUGUUUAUUAAAAACACAGCACUGUGCAAACACGAAAGUGGACGUAUACGGUGUGACGCCUGCCCGGUGCCGGAAGGUUAAUUGAUGGGGUUAUCCGCAAGGAGAAGCUCUUGAUCGAAGCCCCGGUAAACGGCGGCCGUAACUAUAACGGUCCUAAGGUAGCGAAAUUCCUUGUCGGGUAAGUUCCGACCUGCACGAAUGGCGUAAUGAUGGCCAGGCUGUCUCCACCCGAGACUCAGUGAAAUUGAAAUCGCUGUGAAGAUGCAGUGUACCCGCGGCAAGACGGAAAGACCCCGUGAACCUUUACUAUAGCUUGACACUGAACAUUGAGCCUUGAUGUGUAGGAUAGGUGGGAGGCUUUGAAGCGCGGACGCCAGUCUGCGUGGAGCCAACCUUGAAAUACCACCCUUUAAUGUUUGAUGUUCUAACGUAGGCCCGUAAUCCGGGCUGCGGACAGUGUCUGGUGGGUAGUUUGACUGGGGCGGUCUCCUCCCAAAGCGUAACGGAGGAGCACGAAGGUUGGCUAAUCCUGGUCGGACAUCAGGAGGUUAGUGCAAUGGCAUAAGCCAGCUUGACUGCGAGAGUGACGGCUCGAGCAGGUGCGAAAGCAGGUCAUAGUGAUCCGGUGGUUCUGAAUGGAAGGGCCAUCGCUCAACGGAUAAAAGGUACUCCGGGGAUAACAGGCUGAUACCGCCCAAGAGUUCAUAUCGACGGCGGUGUUUGGCACCUCGAUGUCGGCUCAUCACAUCCUGGGGCUGAAGUAGGUCCCAAGGGUACGGCUGUUCGCCGUUUAAAGUGGUACGCGAGCUGGGUUUAGAACGUCGUGAGACAGUUCGGUCCCUAUCUGCCGUGGGCGCUGGAGAAUUGAGGGGGGUUGCUCCUAGUACGAGAGGACCGGAGUGAACGCACCGCUGGUGUUCGGGUUGUCAUGCCAAUGGCACUGCCCGGUAGCUAAGUGCGGAAGAGAUAAGUGCUGAAAGCAUCUAAGCACGAAACUUGCCCCGAGAUGAGUUCUCCCUGACCCUUUAAGGGUCCUGAAGGGACGUUGAAGACGACGACGUUGAUAGGCCGGGUGUGUAAGCGCAGCGAUGCGUUGAGCUAACCGGUACUAAUGACCCGUGAGGCUUAACCUU